RNAcentral lists this ribosomal RNA (695 nucleotides) under uncultured bacterium. Its description in RNAcentral is "bacterial SSU rRNA". It matches the Rfam family "Bacterial small subunit ribosomal RNA", at positions 48 to 725 of the family's 1533-position model. The record is from RNAcentral.
CUAAUACAUGCAAGUCGAACGCUGAAACACUCUGCUUGCAGAGUGUGGAUGAGUGGCGAACGGGUGAGUAACACGUGGGGAAUCUGCCUAUAAGUGGGGGAUAACAUUCGGAAACGGAUGCUAAUACCGCAUAUAUUCAAAAACCGCAUGGUUUCUGAAAGAAAGACGGCUUUGCUGUCGCUUAUAGAUGAUCCCGCGGCGUAUUAGUUAGUUGGUGGGGUAAUGGCCUACCAAGACCAUGAUACGUAGCCGACCUGAGAGGGUGAUCGGCCACACUGGGACUGAGACACGGCCCAGACUCCUACGGGAGGCAGCAGUAGGGAAUCUUCCACAAUGGGUGCAAACCUGAUGGAGCAAUGCCGCGUGAAUGAAGAAGGUCUUCGGAUCGUAAAGUUCUGUUAUUAGAGAAGAACAAGUCAAGGAGUAACUGUCUUGACUUUGACGGUACCUAACCAGAAAGUCACGGCUAACUACGUGCCAGCAGCCGCGGUAAUACGUAGGUGACAAGCGUUGUCCGGAAUUAUUGGGCGUAAAGGGAGCGCAGGCGGUUGGAAUAGUCUGAUGUGAAAGCCCACGGCUUAACCGUGGAAGGUCAUUGGAAACUGUCCAACUUGAAUGCAGAAGAGGUAAGUGGAAUUCCAUGUGUAGCGGUGAAAUGCGUAGAUAUAUGGAGGAACACCAGUGGCGAAGGCGAC